UGGUGCUGGAGGCACUGGUUUUUAAAUAAAGCUGAAUCUUUCUGUUACUUUUCAGGCAGAGGCAAGGCUGGCAGCAAAACGGGCUGCCCGGGCAGAAGCAAGAGAUAUCCGCAUGAGAGAACUGGAACGGCAGCAAAAAGAGCACUCUCAUCAUUCCUUUGACCGGAAAUGGGGACAGAUUCAGAAGUGGCUGGAAGAGUCGGAAAGAGCCAGGUCUUCCCACAGAUCCAGUCAUCGUCGUCCUUCUCUGGUUUGUAAUAACCUACAAACUUGCCUCUGAUACUUUUCCUCAUCAGCUUGCUGCAGCCACUCACACACCUUUACUGUGUUUGUUUUUAUCUUAUCAGGGAGUUGAGGAUGCAUUGUCCAUUCGAAGUCUUGGCAGUCACAGGGUUGGUAUUUUAAGUUGUUUACACCCUAAUAGCAAAGCUAUCCCUUUGUCUUUUCUAAAAAAAGAAAAUAUUGGUAAAGUUCUUUUCAUUGGAAAGUGGUAUUUUCUCUCAAAUUAUUGCUAUAAGUAAAUCAAUUCUAAAAUCGUAAAUAUUUUCAUCUAUUAACAUGUAUAUUUACUUUUUUUCUGUAAAAGGACUUUUGAUUUUGUAAAAUCAUUACAAAAUAAUAAGAUUGAUUUUAUAAAAUAACACCUGCAUGGUUCUAACUUUCAGAUUUUUCCUACUUUCAG
RNAcentral lists this long non-coding RNA (682 nucleotides) under Bos mutus (wild yak). Its description in RNAcentral is "lncRNA (ENSBMUG00000010721.1)". The record is from RNAcentral. Lineage: Eukaryota; Metazoa; Chordata; Mammalia; Artiodactyla; Bovidae.